Molecule: ribosomal RNA, 253 nt
Filed under: uncultured bacterium
Lineage: Bacteria
Description: partial 16S ribosomal RNA
Rfam family: Bacterial small subunit ribosomal RNA
Source: RNAcentral
CACGUAGGGGGCGAGCGUUGUUCGGAAUUAUUGGGCGUAAAGGGCGCGCAGGCGGUCUGGUAAGUCUGGUGUUGAAGGCCACAGCUUAACUGUGGAAAGGCGCUGGAAACUGCCGGGCUUGAGUUUAGGAAGGGGAGCUGGAAUUCCAGGUGUAGGGGUGAAAUCUGUAGAGAUCUGGAAGAACACCGGUGGCGAAGGCGAGCUCCUGGCCAUAGACUGACGCUGAGGCGCGAAAGCGUGGGGAGCAAACAGG